ACAAGAACACAAUACAGACAUGAUUAAACCAGAUUGUUAGUAAAUGUACCAACAUCAAGAUUUGGGUGUUGUUGAAGAAUGGACUUUGGGUGAGGACCCAGCAAACUCCUUGCCACUGGAACAUGCUCUUCCAGCUGAAUGAUUCUGUGUAUCUCUGAUCCCCAGAAGACCACUGCCUUAGGAAUUAUAUACUCCAGGUCUGAAGAGAGUAGGCUUCUAGUAGUACCAGCCUUCUACCAGCUCCUGCCCUUCUCCAUGGCAGUUCUUCUACUCAUUCUUCCUCCAUAAAAGAUAGCUAUUCCACCCUAUUGCUUCCUGGUCGGUUCCACUACCAUUUCAGCUCAUUCCAUUAAAUUUACCUUGACCUCAAGUCUUCCUUACAUACAAUGUCCCUUCAAAACACCCAGGCAAUGAUGUCAUUCCCAUGGGCUUUGAUCUACAUUCAAGUGACUACAACAGUUCUUCCUCUAGAGGUGUAUAGCAUUGCCCAUUGUAAGUCCUUCAGAAUUGUCCCAGAUCAUUGAAUUAUUGAGAAUAGCCAAGUUUUCACAACUGAUCAUUGUAUAAUGUUGCUGUUACUAUGUACUAUGUUCUUCCAGUUCUUAUUUCACUCUGCAUCUGCUCAUGGAGAUCUUUCUAGCUUUUUUCUGAGAUUUUGUUUAUCAUUUCUUCUAGCACAAUAGUAUUUUAUAACUAACAUACACAAUAAUUUGUCCAAUUAUUCCACAAUUGAUGGUCAUACCCUCAAUUUCUAAUUAUUUGCCACCACAAAAAGAACUGCUAUAAAUAUUUUUAUACAGGUAGAUCCUUUCCCCUCUAAAAAUAUCUUUUUGUGAUACAGACCCAGAAGUUGUAUUGAAGGAUCAAAGAGAAGGUUCAACUUUACAGACCUUUAGGCAGAGUUCCAAAUUGCCCUCCAGAAUAGUUGGAUCAGUUCACACUAUUUGAUUGAUUUUUAAUCACUAUUUGUUGAGUGAAAUUCAAGUGACUGGUUCUGUUAGACCUUCCAAUUCUGUAAUUCUAUAAGUCUGUGGAGAGGCAAGAAGACAAGAAGACUUGGUUCAUGUUAUAUCUUUGACACACACUGGCAAGUCGUUAGUUGCAUUACCUCUCAGAGAUCCCAACAAUUCUUUAAAAUUAUACAUUUCAGAAAAGGGAAUGACCUGCAAUGAUAGUAAAACUUUCCUUUCUUGGACAUUUUUUAGACUAAUAUAACCACAGUUCCAGUUCCUUUCUUUAUAUUUCUGUGAUUUGUCCUUUCACCUUAUCCAUUAAAAAG
Monodelphis domestica (gray short-tailed opossum) is the source of this 1279-nucleotide long non-coding RNA. RefSeq lists it as uncharacterized. The record is from RefSeq and is a predicted model, not a curated record. Lineage: Eukaryota; Metazoa; Chordata; Mammalia; Didelphimorphia; Didelphidae.